GAUGAACGCUGGCGGCGUGCCUAAUACAUGCAAGUCGAGCGAACAGACGAGGAGCUUGCUCCUCUGACGUUAGCGGCGGACGGGUGAGUAACACGUGGAUAACCUACCUAUAAGACUGGGAUAACUUCGGGAAACCGGAGCUAAUACGGGAUAAUAUAUUGAACCGCAUGGUUCAAUAGUGAAAGACGGUUUUGCUGUCACUUAUAGAUGGAUCCGCGCCGCAUUAGCUAGUUGGUAAGGUAACGGCUUACCAAGGCGACGAUGCGUAGCCGACCUGAGAGGGUGAUCGGCCACACUGGAACUGAGACACGGUCCAGACUCCUACGGGAGGCAGCAGUAGGGAAUCUUCCGCAAUGGGCGAAAGCCUGACGGAGCAACGCCGCGUGAGUGAUGAAGGUCUUCGGAUCGUAAAACUCUGUUAUUAGGGAAGAACAAAUGUGUAAGUAACUAUGCACGUCUUGACGGUACCUAAUCAGAAAGCCACGGCUAACUACGUG
Molecule: ribosomal RNA, 497 nt
Filed under: uncultured bacterium
Lineage: Bacteria
Description: partial 16S ribosomal RNA
Rfam family: Bacterial small subunit ribosomal RNA
Source: RNAcentral